This 519-nucleotide ribosomal RNA is filed under the name uncultured Glomus. RNAcentral describes it as "SSU rRNA". It matches the Rfam family "Eukaryotic small subunit ribosomal RNA", at positions 569 to 1089 of the family's 1831-position model. Lineage: Eukaryota; Fungi; Glomeromycota; Glomeromycetes; Glomerales; Glomeraceae. The record is from RNAcentral.
AGCAGCCGCGGUAAUUCCAGCUCCAAUAGCGUAUAUUAAAGUUGUUGCAGUUAAAAAGCUCGUAGUUGAAUUUCGGGGUUAGUAGUUUGGUCGUGCCAAUGGUAUGUACUGGGCUCACUGAUUCCUCCUUCCUGAUGAACUGUAAUGCCAUUAAUUUGGUGUUGCAGGGAAACUGGACUGUUACUUUGAAAAAAUUAGAGUGUUUAAAGCAAGCUAACGCUUGAAUACAUUAGCAUGGAAUAAUGAAAUAGGACGUUCGAUCCUAUUUUGUUGGUUUCUAGGAUUGACGUAAUGAUUAAUAGGGAUAGUUGGGGGCAUUAGUAUUCAAUUGUCAGAGGUGAAAUUCUUGGAUUUAUUGAAGACUAACUACUGCGAAAGCAUUUGCCAAGGAUGUUUUCAUUAAUCAAGAACGAAAGUUAGGGGAUCGAAGACGAUCAGAUACCGUCGUAGUCUUAACCAUAAACUAUGCCGACUAGGGAUCGGAUGAUGUUAAUUUUUUAAUGACUCAUUCGGCGUCCG